Molecule: ribosomal RNA, 471 nt
Filed under: uncultured bacterium
Lineage: Bacteria
Description: bacterial SSU rRNA
Rfam family: Bacterial small subunit ribosomal RNA
Source: RNAcentral
AGGCCUUCGGGUCGUAAAGCUCUGUCCUCCAGGAAGAUAAUGACGGUACUUGAGGAGGAAGCCCCGGCUAACUACGUGCCAGCAGCCGCGGUAAUACGUAGGGGGCUAGCGUUAUCCGGAUUUACUGGGCGUAAAGGGUGCGUAGGCGGUCUUUNAAGUCAGGAGUGAAAGGCUNCGGCUCAACCNUAGUAAGCUCUUGAAACUGGGAGACUUGAGUGCAGGAGAGGAGAGUGGAAUUCCUNGUGUAGCGGUGAAAUGCGUAGAUAUUAGGAGGAACACCANUAGCGAAGGCGGCUCUCUGGACUGUAACUGACGCUGAGGCACGAAAGCGUGGGGAGCGAACAGGAUUAGAUACCCUGGUAGUCCACGCCGUAAACGAUGAGUACUAGGUGUCGGGGGUUACCCGCCCUCGGUGCCGCAGCUAACGCAUUAAGUACUCCGCCUGGGGAGUACGCUCGCCAGAGUGAAACU